Molecule: long non-coding RNA, 8202 nt
Organism: Varroa destructor (honeybee mite)
Lineage: Eukaryota; Metazoa; Arthropoda; Arachnida; Mesostigmata; Varroidae
Source: RefSeq, a predicted model, not a curated record
GUGCUGCCUUUGCGGCCACCGUAGCUGCUUCAUUUACCCUCGCACUCCUUCAGCUAAAAGGGGGCAUUCAGCGCGGGUGCGCCAUCAUUCACGAAACAAUCUGCAGUGCGGACAGAACAAGUCUUGGACGGAAGCGUCCUGCUUGUAGUCGUGUGAUUGUCGUUGUGGUUGUCGUCUAUUGUUACUGGUCAUCGUCGUUUUGGUUGUUACUGUUCCUUUGUAGUAUUCUUCAACAUCCCCAUGAAUCAUUAUAGAGUCGAAAAAAAGUUACCGUAACCAUUAUUGAUAUCAUUCUAACCAAACACAACACUAGCAGCAUUAGUGAAAGUCAUUGUACAAACCGCAACGGUUCGGCCAUUCGACGACAGGUGUUUACCAUUGAAACGCGGUGCGCGUCUCUGUGUAUAUCUCAGUGUUGGGUAUUGUGAAGGUGCCAAAGACUUGCGUAUGUACUUCUGCACUAAAUGUAACGGUGUGUAAUAGAUAUGCUUGUAGUGAUCACAUUUAUGUAGUUUGUGAACUUCCAUUUUGCUCCUCCAAAACGUGAAACUGUCCUUACAGUCCGCCCGCCCCGUGUACGUGCUCCGUUGAUUCUAACAGACGGACGGUUUAUUCAGAUCGAUCAAGAUACGAUUGUAUUAUUACCGUGUCGACUUCUUCAGCUCGCGUACGACUUGGCGCCGUCAAAAAAGUCUGGACGGUAGCGAUUCUUUGUGUCAGCCAUACUAGUAAACAUUGGCAAAGAGAACGACACACAUUAAAAGGAUACCCCUCUAACGAUUCUACGGCAGGAUGAAUCCGUUCAGCGGUGCUCCUAUCAUUAGCGCGAGGUUUGCAUAACCGAAAGACAAGCGUGAAUAAGGCGGUCACGGAAGAAAAAAAACGUCAUACAAGAUAAUAUUAUACAGCGUUGUAUAAUGACAUGAGUUUUAUACUUACGAAGAAGGCACCCGUCUGUCUACGCUGAUGUUUGCAAUCUAACCAAAAGAGAUAAAAUCCUGGUGAUCGUAAUGUCGCCUAUACGAAAACGCGGUCGGGUCACACAACAACGUCAAGCUAGUAAUGACGCUACGCUAGAUGAAGCUAUUUUACUCGUCUAAUGUCUGUCCUUCUUCGAUCACCUGUUCGACGUCGCUGUCCUUUAUCUUUGAUCGUUCCUGUUCGUGGUAUGUGUUUAUUAGAUUCCUAGGCGCAGUAGGAGACACACAAAUGGCGUCCCAUCAAGUAGCCGCUAAUUCAACAACGUAACUCAUUUCUACACGUCGUUUAUAACCGACAGGCGAAGAACAGAAGAAGGACUUCGGCCAAUCGAGAUCAGCGGAUUAUUAUGAGUCAAAUGUUUUAUAAUUUGUCCGUCAUAUCGGUUGUGUCUAGUAACUCUUGGCGGUUUCAAUCUUAGCAUUGGUAUUAUUAUCGCUUCCAUAUCAUCAAUUUGGUGUCAUAAAGAGUUAAUAAAUAACGAAUCAUUAAUUAAUGAAAAAAGAUGGAUGCUUACAAUAAGCCUGCAUGUACAUACAAGAUCAAAAAAAUCGGAUACUUCAAAUAUACGCGUCGUCGACGGAUAGAGUGAAACCAAUAUAUUGGAAUAGUAGUUUAAAAAGCAGUUAACAGGUUACCUUCAACUAGAAUAGAGUAUUUGAUUUUCCUUGCACCCUUCUUUUUACCGACGUCGUUUAGCUAGACCCACCUCGUAGCAGUCGAUCAGCAUGUAAUGUCUAGGUACUGGAAAUUAACAUUGCCGGCUCGAAUAGAACGAUUAAUAAUAACAUACAUAGCGCGAUGAAGUACCCAAAAUAAACACGAGUAACACGAUGCUUCGAAAUAAAGACAUUUUCGACCUUCAAACCUCGCUGGCGUCUCUGACAAGGUUAGAGAAUCUAACUAACUUCCACGCGAUAACACCCGCAUUGGUGUUAGCAGGUAAAUUUCUUCUGUUUGCAAAAUGUUCAGGCUCCACUAGUUAAGGUCACGACACAUGUGCACUGGUCAGACAGAAGUAUGGACCGUUUCGCAAAAAGUUUUUGAAUGCCAGAGAAAAUAUUCAAAUUCGUAUCACCCUCUAGCUUAGCAUUGAAACGCUCGUCUAAGUUAGAUAUAUUGUUGUGUACCUUGGCCAAAAAAAACAAGUAGGCGUCACUAGCUGUAAUAGGAAGGUCAAAAAUUGUAUCGGCCGCUUAUUAGCGUUUCUCUGAUACACGCGACUUCACCAUUACUGCUACCGGUCCAGUGUGGCCAUAUCCGAUGCUCGGUCUUUAAGAUAUAAAUGUGCGUUAUUGGCUUAUAGUUCGACGAAGAUAUGUACUGGUUAAGCUGGUCACUGGCUGAAGUUAAUCAGACUUUUUCGAAAAAAGUCUGAUUUCGUUUCGAAAACGUCCGCGACUUUGCCAGCCCCGGGUCUCCUUCGGGAUUCGAAGCAGACGCAAUGAAUAGGAGACCGCUAAAAACGCUGCGAGUUUUCUGCAUGGGUCAGACAGUCGGUCGACAAAAAGCGACGGCGAUACAAUAAGCACUAUUUACCGGACUUGUAGCGUAGUAGCAGCCAUAUCACUUCAUCAUAAUCACUACUGGAUUGGUCUGGCUGACUUCGAUACCAACCGGCUCGACUAAUGUAAACAUGGCCACGCAAAGACCUGUCGGCUGCAAUAGCUUGUGAACAAAAGCCGCGAUAUUUACCGAGACAAAAGGGCAAAAUCCACAAAACAAAUUAAUUGGCGGCAUAAAUCGCUUCGGACGGCAGUAAGUUAAGUUACCAAAUUCGAGUUACGUUGUAUAAGAAAUGCGAGUCGCCGAUUGGAAGGCUUUAUCGUCAGAUCGCUUAGAGUAAAUGCGCUUUUGGGGGGUGGUGAUCAUUGCAGUAAACUUGAGUCAGUAUUUUAGAAGGAAAAAAAACUACAAACAUCGAAGUUUCCAAGUGAGAGAACCUAACUUGAGCACACGGUUAUUGAAACGAAAAUAUGCCUCUUGGUUUUUUAUUGCUAUUGCGUUUAUCCUUAACGCGGUACAUAUGUUACAAUGAAGAUAAUUUUUCAUUAAAAAUUUUUUGUUGUAGUUUUUUGUUUUAGUAAUUGACCACCUUCCUAUCAUCGAUCCGAUGGAAAAUAGGUGCGCUUAACAGAAAACGUUUAAUAGAAGCUAAUAUCUGUGAAUGGUUGAAUUUCGUCUCAAAAAAAAAGACUCAUAAACAAUAACAGCAAUAACAGCUGCACAAGAGAGCACCUUAUUGGUGUAAGUGAGCUAUUACAGUUUCUACGGUAAACUAAUUUUAGCAAAGACAUUAAUUUAGCAAUUCAGACGAAGUCUAGUGACACCAAAUAAGUAAGCAUUUACGCUCCUCGUUUAAGCUAAGAGAUUUUUGUUUCACGUAAUAGCCAUUGCCUCGACUGUUUGCGCGAUCCUCCUUCGCUCGUGGAGGUUCAUUACAUGCUGCGAGCGUUAACUAUAGGAAGUGACGGGAGUUCUUCGUGAAGCUUCUUACCAACGACACUCUUUGGCAAUAAAGAAAAUCAUAGCGUUGCAUUUUAAUUACCAACUGACCUUUUUGCCGCCGUCAAACUUCCAAUAGAUGUUUCUUUAUUCCAGAACAUCUGUAUGCCUCUAAAAAUCAGUUGAUGUAAUUUAGUUUUGACGAUGUCGAUAUUAGUGACGAAGGCACACGAGGGUUACCGUAUACCAAGUUCAAGUCGCCCUCUAAACCUCUAUCCAUAUGAAAAAAAUCCUCGAAGAGGAAGUAGACGGGAACAAGGCAAGCAACAAGAUACAGUUGAAGUUCAAUAGUACUUGUCUAAAGUCAAUUACUUAACGCCGAAAGCCCGAUUUUCCUAUUUUAAGCUAGAAAGUUUCCCGUAAGCCCAUUCAUUAGUUAAGAGCGUGGGUAUAUACCUUGGAUCUCUUUUCUUGUAGGGAAGCAUAGCGUUGUACUCUUUCCGGCAUAGAUGGUGAUUAUAUCUUUUUUGGAGUUUUACUACAAGAUCCAUGUUAAGAUUAUGCUUGUGAAAAAUAUGAAAAGGUAAACAUUCAAUAGAUCAGUAUUAAGCGAUUAAAAGUGAAUAUAUAUACAAUAAAAUAUGCGUGAAUCUAUAUGCAGGUUUUACAUAAGAUUCAUAUAUUGCGAACUACUAGAUAUACUCUACUUGUAUUCGUUGCUUUAGAUAUAACGUGUAGCAUACUCAUUUGGUCUCGAUAACUUACUGAAUUUUUAUAACUUGUGUUCGUUCUAUAUCAAACGACGCUCACAGUUCCCUUACGGGUAUAGGGAAGUGUACGACCGUAUCUUUCCAAAGUUACGCAACGCCUGACGUCUGAUUGUUGUGGCCUUACACACAAACACCGAAGAAGACGAUCCCCCCAAAGUAGGGACUAAAGAACUGCCGCGAAGCCUAUCCAGCUUGGCCUAUGGCCGCGGAUUAAUAACUUAAUUUACACACCGUCGUAUAAUAAACAUGUAUAUAUAUAUAUUUGUUUUUAAAUAUUAAUUCACAUUUAAGUCAUUGAUCGAUGGAGUAUUAGCGCGCGCUAGAUCACAAACCAGAAUAGCUCGACCGUAUCUAGCAGUCGCCUAGGAAAGACAGACUUUUCCUUUUAAGAACAAAAAGCACAUAUAGACACAAGGAUAAAUGACUGUCCCAUAAGUGUAUUCUCUGUUUCAAAUAGAAACGCAUGCGUUUUGAAUUAGCGUAAAGCGUGAUAUGCAGCAUUAAUACAAAAUUGAUUGGGAUUAUACUGCUGUAAACGUGCGGGGGUGUGGUAAUUACUAAUUAACCCAGCGGAUUUCGAUUGAGUCAAUAAUCAGGGGGCAAUUAUAAAAAAAAGAAAAAAAUAGGACGCUGCUUAAUUUUGAUCGUUUUAUUGGAUGUACGCAUAUAUUUCAUCCAAUAAAAAUUUGAAAAUGAUCUCAGCGAAUGUAUCAUAAGCCAGCCGUUGAUGCAAAUGCAAUUCCUGUCAAGCGGCGUUGGAUCCUUUAAUAUCGUAGCGGAAUUAUUUUUUUUGCAUGAAAUUGGCCGUUCGAAGUACUUCGGGUAGCGACCCCGAAUUGGACGGAACAGGCAGUGACCACGAUGGAUCGAGUGCAGUUCAGUUGCACUGAUCUCAUCUGGUACUAACUAGGACGGUUACGUCUGUGGUACCACAAUGAUAAUAGUACCACAGACGAUACAAAUAUUUGUCAAGCAGAUUAAAACAUGUCCUUGCAGUAAUCACAGGCAAAAAGCCGUCAACGAAGAGACUUCGGUGCCGAGCUCGUUGCGAAAACAGGUGAUGAUAUACGCCUAUCCGUUAAGUUGUGAUAUAUCAGUUAUGGAACUGUAGAUAGAUAUGGAAGAAAAAAUAUUUUCCGUUCCUUUUUUGUAAAUCUUAGGCGCCGUGAUAAACAAGGUGAGGAUCUUCGCUGAAUUGCGGCUCAUCUACAUUAAGUUAGAUUGAGUAGAUUUGCAGGUAUGGUGACAAGUCGUAUGCUGAUGGAGGGUAUAGUCCUGUAGGUUUGAAAUCUUAAAUAUUGCAAAUUUACUGGAAUAACUAAAUCGCAACUUGGACAGUUAAAAUGUUACGACAACAUCACUACGCCACUAGACUUCAUAAAUCUAAAUCAAAUGCCCCAUAGGAUGCACAGGAAAAGUCGAUGUACAAAAAACUGCACACUUCCUGUGCACAGCCGUGUGUUUAACUGUAUUCGUUAUGAAUCUGCAAAUGUACCAUUAUUUGAAUAAAGAAACAACAAACUUUGUGUAAAAGCAGCGUAGAGCCUUCUUAAGGUUCGUUAGCUUCCAGGCUAGUGAUGGCACAGGAUGUCCAUGGUCACAAUUCUGCAAGCCACUGACAACAGCAGCGUACCCAGUAAAAGUGCAGCGCUUUCUGAAAAGUUCUUACAACGUUCAAAAUGUUUCUUUGUUUUACUGUAGCUACGUGUCCAGGGAGUCAUCAAUCGAUUACCUCUUUAAAUCAAAAAGGAAGCUAUUAGCAAAUCGGCUGUGCAGGUCACACGUGGGUUACUAUAUGCUACAGAUAAUUGUGUGAAGCCACGCUUUUAACAUAUCAUAAUGUUGUGAAGAUAGCCACACCUAAGUCUUCAGCAAUUUGACAGAACUCUCACUAUUCGGUAGGGGUAGGCCAACCGUUCCUCCCGGUAGCGAAGGUCUACAGAGUUGGCAAUCCUUACAAUGAAAUGCACCUGUACCUACGACGGGGCUAGAUAAACAGCUAAGGCUACAAUGGGAUGUUAUUGAAAUUCGCUGCAUUGCCAAUUGGACAUCGAACCGGUCUCUAUUGUCGUAAGGAACCUAUUCAAUUGAUUUCACUUCAUGUAGCUCUGCCUAAAAAAGGGUACCCUAUCAAUCACUUCAUCCAUCUUGUUCAUGGAUGAAUUAGGAUCGUUAGUUUCAUUCUGCCUAGAGCGAGGCUAGUUUUGGUGAUCAAAUGACCACUUAUGAGAUUCAAGUGACAGCAAGUCCAUUUGGUAAAGCCGUAUUACGAUACUUCAUGACAGGAAAAACACUCGUGUCAGUGUCUGUUUCGUGGAACUAUAAAAUGAGUACCUAUCGGGAAUAAUCUGUCUCAGUAGCAUCAAAUCUAUCAGCCAUAGAUGGAGGUUUUUCGGUUACGUUAUAACCGUUUCCGAUUUUCGUAAUGAAAAAAACUGAACGGUUUUGAGCGUCACUGAACUAUUAUUAGAAACAGUUCUUCCAGCCUGUGUAUGCGAUUGAUUACAUGUGCUGAUAAAUGGAUAAAGCACACGAUAUAUGUAUUUUGGUAAUUUCAGGCCAUAAUCACUAAAUGAAUAGAUAGUUUAUGGUGUAUAAAGAUAUUGCGAACGCCCUUAUUUGUUCGAUGAAAAUCGACAGGUUACUUCGGCAGACCGAAGCAGCUCAUUCCAGCGUGUUGCUACUACAUAAUAUGUAUAUAUAUGGUCUAACAUACGUGGCAUCCCGAGGCUGGAAUUGGCAAGCGUUCGUUGUUCCUAGUUGGGCGUGUAUUUAAUUGUCGAUACGGUCGGUAUAUUGAUUGUGACCGAAAUUUCUAGUCAAAAUUAGAAGCAUACAUCCAUAACUUCCGUCGAAUCAACUUCUCUUGCCGAAAGAACCAUGCAGAUUACAUAUUUAUCACACGACUUAAUUAUAUGUACAUAUAGCGUAUAGCUUUCAUCCAUAGUUCUAACUCCCAAUAUUUUGCUUCAUGUGGACGUCUAUAAGCAUUAUAAGAUAAGGUUACUAUUGAAUGUCGAACAAGGUUUGCACACGUCGUUCAAUGAUGCUCUAUACAGCUUUUGAAAUUGCAGCUCCGUUAAGAAAGGCGAUUUUUUCAGCGGGCAUACGUACGUAGAUAGAAACAGUUAGUAGUUUCUUUGGUGUUCCGACAGGUUGACCAAAAAGCAGCUUCCAAUAUGUUCAAUAUACGGACACUGCAAAACGGGUUUACGUAGUUCCAAAGAGACAACUUCAAUGUGUAUCAAGUCAAUGAGAGACAAACAUCUACAUGAAUAAACAAGUAUAGCAUUGUUCUAGGUAAUAGAAAUUUCAAAAUAAUUACCUUAUCAGCAGGCGCUCGCAGUGAGCCGUAUUUUAGAGAUCCCUUGAAAAAAGUCUUCUUAUCUUGAAUUAUUAAUAUUGGUGUGUAGAAGAUAAAAUAAUCUGUCAAAUAACAAUCUCAUCUAGCAACAAUAUGGCACCGGAAGGUCACUGAUAUAACAUUAUGCAUUGUUAUUUCCACUGAGCUACCCAACUGAACCUGUAAAUGUGACCUUUAUCGGCUGUCUGUAUGCCGUAAACACUAUUGAGCAUCUAACUAAAUCGAUAUCAUAUCUGUUAUUUCUACAUACGAACACCAAGGUUUUGUCAUAGAAAAUCAAAAGUUUGAAACGAAUUAAGAGUAGUGUCAAAAUUAACUUUUUUCAUCCACCAUAGCACACAACUAAAAUUUACCGAUUCAUUUUAUUUUUCAGACCCCUUACUAGCCAUAUUUAUAUUUCUUAGGUAAAAAUCAGCGGCAUAGUUACAAACUACGUUACGUGAUCAUGGAUUACAGGUCAUUUGUUUAUGCUCGCAUCGUGACAACGUAAACAAUAAACAGCCAAUUGUGGGGAGUAAUAAUGACCAAACCCAGUUACCGUGGGUUAUUCCUUCGGCUUCAUUUUCAAGUACACCGCAUCUCUAAGCAAUGCUCGUUACAUAAUGUAGUUAAGUGAGCGCGAAUAUUGAUACAGGCAGGGCAGCA